UCUGAGCGGAAGAGGAGCCCAAGCGGGCUCGGGUGCUCACCUGCGCCCCCUGGGGGCCGAGGGGGGAAGAGACCGCAAGGCGAGACCAGGAGCCUGGGACCAGGCCGGACGCGACAGCAGGUGCAGGAGGGCGACGCUGGGCUGGACCCGGCGGGGCCGCGGAGGUGGGCAGAAGUCCAAGGUUUGGAUGUGAGUGGAGAGAGAGCGAGAAAGGGGUCAAGUCAAGGAUGACACGAGGCUUCUGACCGCGGUACCUGGAGCCCCCAGCCCUCUCCAGCCCCCUGCUCCAGCAGCCCCCGCCUCGCUCCUGUGUCCCCCUCAGAUGGUUCAGGUAGAGGCCACAUGCUGCCCUCGCCUCUUAGGCCUUGGCUCUUCCCUGUGGCCUCUCACGCAUGGCAUUUGCCUUCUCCAUUCUCAAGACAGGAAGUCAGAUGAGGCUGGAGAGGGGCGGAGAGCUGUCAGGGCCCCCACCCCCAAAAGGACUGGGGAUCUGCCUCCUCCCUCCCAUCCGAGCCCAGACUAACCGGCUCCCAUUUUGCCCCCCGGUCGGCGCAUCGCUCUCUCUGUCUCCCUCUGGAAUUUUCGUUCUCUUUACGGUAACCAAAUUACCCCAUCUCUGCUUCUCGCCAGGGACGGCCUGCUCAGCGCAGCGCAGCGUGGGCUAGAAGGGCCAGGGUCACAGGGCGAGCGAUUAAACCAUCAAUCACCCGCCGAUGCUGACAGCCACCCCUCACCUGGGACCCUCCGCCCCGUCUGCGAGCCCCGGGGCCAGCGGCAACUCAAAAACAGGCCUGGAGGCCUCCGAACCCUUCAAGGUAACAAGCCUCCGUGCUUUGCACUGGCUGUUCCCUCUGCCUGGAAUGCUCUUCCUCCACAUACCACGUGACUCCUCUUUGCCUGCUUCGGAGCUUCGUUCAGAUGUCACCUCCUCAGUGAGGACACCCAGUUAAAAGCGCCUGCCCCACCCACGCGGUUUUGUUGUUUCUCGAGCGGGCAAGCACCCCCACCUAAUGUACCGGAGGCUGUGUUUGCUGGGUCGGUCUGACCACCUCACUGGAGUGUCAGCCCUAGGGCAGGGGUGUACCCCCUUCAUCGCCCGGCACAGCACCUGGCAUGAAGUAAACACUCGGUGAAUUCUUGUUGAACGAACGAACGAAUGAAUGCAUUCCAAAGCUG
Long non-coding RNA from Neofelis nebulosa (Clouded leopard), 1176 nucleotides. RefSeq lists it as uncharacterized. The record is from RefSeq and is a predicted model, not a curated record. Lineage: Eukaryota; Metazoa; Chordata; Mammalia; Carnivora; Felidae. The transcript has 2 exons.